GCUCAGGAUGAACGCUGGCGGCGUGCUUAACACAUGCAAGUCGAGCGAAGCAAUUUAAGUGAAGUUUUCGGAUGGAUCUUAAAUUGACUGAGCGGCGGACGGGUGAGUAACGCGUGGAUAACCUGCCUCACACAGGGGGAUAACAGUUAGAAAUGACUGCUAAUACCGCAUAAGCGCACGGUACCGCAUGGUACAGUGUGAAAAACUCCGGUGGUGUGAGAUGGAUCCGCGUCUGAUUAGGUAGUUGGUGAGGUAACGGCCCACCAAGCCGACGAUCAGUAGCCGACCUGAGAGGGUGACCGGCCACAUUGGGACUGAGACACGGCCCAAACUCCUACGGGAGGCAGCAGUA
This 352-nucleotide ribosomal RNA is filed under the name uncultured bacterium. RNAcentral describes it as "bacterial SSU rRNA". It matches the Rfam family "Bacterial small subunit ribosomal RNA", at positions 22 to 356 of the family's 1533-position model. The record is from RNAcentral.